This 794-nucleotide ribosomal RNA is filed under the name uncultured bacterium. RNAcentral describes it as "bacterial SSU rRNA". It matches the Rfam family "Bacterial small subunit ribosomal RNA", at positions 8 to 799 of the family's 1533-position model. The record is from RNAcentral.
AGAGUUUGAUUAUGGCUCAGGCAUGAACGCUGGCGGCGUGCCUAACACAUGCAAGUCGAACGGACCCCUCCCGUCGAUGCCAUUUCGGUUAAGUCCGGGGAUGUUUUAGUGGCGGACGGGUGACUAACGCGUGGGCCCCCUGCCUUACCCCGGGAGAUAACACUUAAAAAUAUGUGCUAAUACCGUGUAACAGGAGAACCUGCAUGUGUUUUCCUUGAAAACCACGGUGGUGUAAGAUGGACCCGCGUCUGAUUAUCUUGUUGGCAGGGUAACGGCCUACCAAAGCGACGAUCACUACCCGGCCUGAAAGGGUGGACGGCCACUUUGGAACUGAAACACGGCCCAAACUCCUACGGAAGGCAGCAGGGGGGAAUAUUGCACAAGGGGGGAAACCCUGAUGCACCGACGCCGCGGGAGUGAAAAACUAUUUCGGUAUGUAAAGCUCUGUCAGCAGGGAAAAAAAUGACGGUACCUGACCAAGAAGCCCCGGCUAACUACGUGCCAGCAGCCGCGGUAAUACGUAGGGGGCAAGCGUUAUCCGGAUUUACUGGGUGUAAAGGGAGCGCAUACGGCAGUGCAAGUCCGGAGUGAAAGCCCGGGGCCCAACCCCGGGACUGCUCUGGAAACUGUACGGCUGGAGUGCCGGAAAGGUAAGCGGAAUUCCUGGUGUAACGGUGAAUUGCGCAGAUAUUAGGAGAAACCCCAGUGGCGAAAGCGGCUUACUGGACGGUAACUGACGUUGAAGGUUCGAAAGCGUGGGGACCAAACAGGAUUAAAUCCCCUGCAACUCCCCC